UUUAGGAUCCUAUCAAAUAGAAUAGUCUAUAAGUAACUGAGUAGUUAAGAGCUAAUUACUUUGUGAUUUUA
This 71-nucleotide transfer RNA is filed under the name Zaops ostreum. RNAcentral describes it as "tRNA-Leu". The record is from RNAcentral. Lineage: Eukaryota; Metazoa; Arthropoda; Malacostraca; Decapoda; Pinnotheridae.